RNAcentral lists this ribosomal RNA (496 nucleotides) under uncultured bacterium. RNAcentral's name for it is "partial 16S ribosomal RNA". It matches the Rfam family "Bacterial small subunit ribosomal RNA", at positions 29 to 507 of the family's 1533-position model. The record is from RNAcentral.
AUGCACGCUGGCGGCGUGCCUCAUACAUGCAAGUCGAGCGAACAGACGAGGAGCUUGCUCCUCUGACGUUAGCGGCGGACGGGUGAGUAACACGUGGAUAACCUACCUAUAAGACUGGGAUAACUUCGGGAAACCGGAGCUAAUACCGGAUAAUAUAUUGAACCGCAUGGUUCAAUAGUGAAAGACGGUUUUGCUGUCACUUAUAGAUGGAUCCGCGCCGCAUUAGCUAGUUGGUAAGGUAACGGCUUACCAAGGCAACGAUGCGUAGCCGACCUGAGAGGGUGAUCGGCCACACUGGAACUGAGACACGGUCCAGACGCCUACGGGAGGCAGCAGUAGGGAAUCUUCCGCAAUGGGCGAAAGCCUGACGGAGCAACGCCGCGUGAGUGAUGAAGGUCUUCGGAUCGUAAAACUCUGUUAUUAGGGAAGAACAAAUGUGUAAGUAACUAUGCACGUCUUGACGGUACCUAAUCAGAAAGCCACGGCUAACUACGUG